RNAcentral lists this ribosomal RNA (164 nucleotides) under Brachypodium pinnatum. RNAcentral describes it as "5.8S ribosomal RNA". It matches the Rfam family "5.8S ribosomal RNA". From Rfam's summary of the family: 5.8S ribosomal RNA (5.8S rRNA) is a component of the large subunit of the eukaryotic ribosome. It is transcribed by RNA polymerase I as part of the 45S precursor that also contains 18S and 28S rRNA. The record is from RNAcentral. Lineage: Eukaryota; Viridiplantae; Streptophyta; Magnoliopsida; Poales; Poaceae.
GACACGACUCUCGGCAGCGGAUAUCUCGGCUCUCGCAUCGAUGAAGAACGUAGCGAAAUGCGAUACCUGGUGUGAAUUGCAGAAUCCCGCGAACCAUCGAGUCUUCGAACGCAAGUUGCGCCCGAGGCCACCCGGUCGAGGGCACGCCUGCCUGGGCGUCACGC